This 1568-nucleotide ribosomal RNA is filed under the name Pseudomonas putida. RNAcentral describes it as "bacterial SSU rRNA". It matches the Rfam family "Bacterial small subunit ribosomal RNA". The record is from RNAcentral. Lineage: Bacteria; Pseudomonadati; Pseudomonadota; Gammaproteobacteria; Pseudomonadales; Pseudomonadaceae.
CGUGGUCUCGCGAUGCAUCUAGAUUAGAGUUUGAUCUUGGCUCAGAUUGAACGCUGGCGGCAGGCCUAACACAUGCAAGUCGAGCGGAUGACGGGAGCUUGCUCCUUGAUUCAGCGGCGGACGGGUGAGUAAUGCCUAGGAAUCUGCCUGGUAGUGGGGGACAACGUUUCGAAAGGAACGCUAAUACCGCAUACGUCCUACGGGAGAAAGCAGGGGACCUUCGGGCCUUGCGCUAUCAGAUGAGCCUAGGUCGGAUUAGCUAGUUGGUGAGGUAAUGGCUCACCAAGGCGACGAUCCGUAACUGGUCUGAGAGGAUGAUCAGUCACACUGGAACUGAGACACGGUCCAGACUCCUACGGGAGGCAGCAGUGGGGAAUAUUGGACAAUGGGCGAAAGCCUGAUCCAGCCAUGCCGCGUGUGUGAAGAAGGUCUUCGGAUUGUAAAGCACUUUAAGUUCGGAGGAAGGGCAGUAAGCUAAUACCUUGCUGAGGUGAACGUUACCGACAGAAUAAGGCACCGGCUAACUCUGUGCCAGCAGCCGCGGUAAUAACAGAGGGUGCAAGCGUUAAUCGGAAUUACUGGGCGCAAAGCGCGCGUAGGUGGUUCGGUAAGUAGGAUGUGAAAGCCCCGGGCUCAACCUGGGAACUGCAUCCCAAAACUGGCGAGCUAGAGUACGGUAGAGGGGUGGUGGAAUUUCCUGUGUAGCGGUGAAAUGCGUAGAUAUAAGGAAAGGAACACCAGUGGCGAAAGGCGACCACCCUGGAACUGAUACUGACACUGAAGGUGCGAAAGCGUGGGGAGCAAACAAGGAUUAGAUACCCUGGUAGUCCACGCCGUAAGGCGAUGUCAACUAGCCGUUUGGAAUCCUUGAAGAAUUUUAGUGGGCGCAGCUAACGCAUUAAGUUGACCGCCUGGGGGGAGUACGGCCGCAAGGUUAAAACUCAAAUGAAUUGAACGGGGGCCCGCAACAAGCGGGUGGAGCCAUGGUGAUUAAAUUCGAAAGCCAACGCGAAGAAAUCUUACCAGGCCUUGGAACAUGCCAGAAGAAACUUUCCAGAGAAUGGAUUGGUGACGUUCGGGAACUCUGGAACACAAGGUGCUGCAUGGCUGUCGUCAGCUCAGUGUUCGUGAGAAUGUCUGGCUUAAGUCCCGUAACGAGCGCAACCCUUGUCCUUAGUUACCAGCACGUUAUGGUGGGCACUCUAAGGAGACUGCCGGUGACAAACCGGAGGAAGGUGGGGAUGACGUCAAGUCAUCAUGGCCCUUACGGCCUGGGCUACACACGUGCUACAAUGGUCGGUACAGAGGGUUGCCAAGCCGCGAGGUGGAGCUAAUCUCACAAAACCGAUCGUAGUCCGGAUCGCAGUCUGCAACUCGACUGCGUGAAGUCGGAAUCGCUAGUAAUCGCGAAUCAGAAUGUCGCGGUGAAUACGUUCCCGGGCCUUGUACACACCGCCCGUCACACCAUGGGAGUGGGUUGCACCAGAAGUAGCUAGUCUAACCUUCGGGAGGACGGUUACCACGGUGUGAUUCAUGACUGGGGUGAAGUCGUAACAAGGUAACCGUAA